UGCAUCGGCUGGGAAUCGAACCCUGGCCGCCCGCGUGGCUGGCGAGCAUUCUACCACUGAACCACCGAUGC
Molecule: transfer RNA, 71 nt
Filed under: Cordylochernes scorpioides
Lineage: Eukaryota; Metazoa; Arthropoda; Arachnida; Pseudoscorpiones; Chernetidae
Description: tRNA-Gly
Source: RNAcentral